This 496-nucleotide ribosomal RNA is filed under the name uncultured bacterium. RNAcentral's name for it is "partial 16S ribosomal RNA". It matches the Rfam family "Bacterial small subunit ribosomal RNA", at positions 28 to 506 of the family's 1533-position model. The record is from RNAcentral.
GAUGAACGCUGGCGGCGUGCCUAAUACAUGCAAGUCGAGCGAACAGACGAGGAGCUUGCUCCUCUGACGUUAGCGGCGGACGGGUGAGUAACACGUGGAUAACCUACCUAUAAGACUGGGAUAACUUCGGGAAACCGGAGCUAAUACCGGAUAAUAUAUUGAACCGCAUGGUUCAAUAGUGAAAGACGGUUUUGCUGUCACUUAUAGAUGGAUCCGCGCCGCAUUAGCUAGUUGGUAAGGUAACGGCUUACCAAGGCGACGAUGCGUAGCCGACCUGAGAGGGUGAUCGGCCACACUGGAACUGAGACACGGUCCAGACUCCGACGGGAGGCAGCAGUAGGGAAUCUUCCGCAAUGGGCGAAAGCCUGACGGAGCAACGCCGCGUGAGUGAUGAAGGUCUUCGGAUCGUAAAACUCUGUUAUUAGGGAAGAACAAAUGUGUAAGUAACUAUGCACGUCUUGACGGUACCGAAUCAGAAAGCCACGGCUAACUACGU